AAUUUCCCCCCUUGCCGUAGUUCCUGGUCGUCUCCACAAAGGCGUAUGAGCUCUGUGAUUUAACCCUGUCACUGCGCAGACAUUAGCAGAAAGGUUGCAGCUGCAAGUCAGCUAGCGGAGAGACAGCAUGUGCAGACACCAGAAGUGGACACAGUAUUCCAGCAGAGGUCACACCCGUGCAAAAUACAGAGGUGAAAGAACCUGGUGUACUGCUUUCGUAAGACUCCAUCUUAUUCCCUUGACGGAUUCUUCCAAACUUUGCACAUAUAGUGGUAGACAGGAUAGGGAUUGUACUUCAACCACUUGGACUGAAAUUUUGUAGGCCAGGUAUCUGCCUCAAGUUAAUUUUUUUUUUUAAAGUUUCAGCUAAAUUAGUUCAGCCAUUUGUAACAGAUAUUUGUAACAGUUUAGCUACCAGUACAUUUCCACAGCAAAGUUUAGCACAAAUAUAAAGAAUUCUGAGUGUACACUUCAUGGAUGUAAAACAUUCUAUAUAAUAUACCUUAUUUGCUAUUAGCUACUUUUUUAUCUUAAUAGCACAAAACACUGUAUUCAAUCACACUGUAGUUACAUCAGUAAAUCAAUGUACACGUUUUGGUUAAUGCAUCUGUUUGCAAGAACCAGUUUCAUGGUUGUUAGUAGAAAUCCAUUCCUUAUGUGGUGAUACUACCAUUGCAACAUCCAUAGUAUAGUUUCACAAACAGUGUUUUUCGACUUCACUUAUGGCUGAGUCAUAAAGUACUGUGGGACUUUGGUUCAUUUUGGGCAACUCAGUAAAGCAUCAAGUCAACACAGAUGGUUUUAGCAGUGCGACAUGGCCAGUGGUGUUGAUUCUAAGGUACAAGACCAAAAUCUUAGAAAUAUUUUGCCAGUUACACUAGUGAGAUACAGAAGUGAGAAGGCUAGAGCAUAGGACUGAGCUGGAUUAAGGCAAUCCCCUGGAAAGGAUUAUGACUUCAAAACAGGGUGUGCCUGCACCUCUGUGCUUCCAGUUACAUCUAAAUUAAAGGUGGAGAAGCAGCAUACAUUGAACCCUGAAAUGGGUGGAAUUGGAAAAAGCAUUAAAAGCCCCUCCUGUAUGCCAAUCUGGGGCAAUUGUCUAUAUUAACAUACAAGAAGACAUCCACUAUAGUAAAGCAUUGGCAUGGAGAUGCACUGCCAGCACUUCAAGCAAUUUUGUUAUCGGGAGUCGGAAGGAUCCUCAGAAGUUUACAGUCAACUCUGUGAACUUUCCCAUCCAUGGCUGCAGCCAGAGAUCCACACAAAGGAGCAGAUCACAGUGCUGCUGGUUCUUGAGCAGUUCCUGACCAUUCUGCCUGAGGGAAUCCAGACUUAGGUCUGGAAAUCUCAUCCCCAGACUGGUGAUGAGGUUCUGGCCGUGGUAGAAGAUUUCCAGUUAAUUCAUGAAGGAGAUAAGAGACUUGGGCAACAGUGUUCCUGAUGCCUUUGGCACAUGCUGCCUUAUAGCCUCGAGUCCUAGGGAAGGAAGUUGUGUGUAAAACUUCUCAGCUCCUCGGUUCACACAUAACAGAUGCUUGUGUGAGUUUUUGUGAAAAGUUGCUUUUUCUGGUAAGUAGAAAUUGUGAGCUUUUGCUGUCACUAGAGAAAUUGUUUGAGCCCAUAAGGAGUUCUGAUUGGUUACAUUUAUUGCAUAGUCAUACUUUAAGUAAACUAAUUGGUUCGGGUAUAGAUAAGAGACUCUCAUUUUACCUAUGUAAUGAGGGUUAGAAGAGAAGCCAGUUGGAACCUAACUCUGGGACACUCCUUAAGACCAAAGCUGCUGGAACUCUUACACCCUGCACGACUAUACCAUGGAGCAGCAAGAGCCCCAGGUGAAAUCCGAUCCUGACUGGCCAUCAGAAAACAUCUGUCUGCAUUAUUAGGAGUGAUGCCAGUGCCUACCUCCCCCAGGGAAGAAGAGGAACAUGUGGGCCAGGUAUAAAUCUCGAGACGGGCGGCCAUGACAGGUACCAACAAGGAAAUGUAACAGCACGCUAAACUCAGGACCGGACCAGAAGCAGUAGAGCCCUCCCACGGAUCCGAAGGGACUUUGGGGACUCUCAUCACCUCGCGGCCAAUCUCCUGGGCAGCUGUUGCCUGGCCAGCUUCAGCCACUUGCAAAAUCAAAACCAACAUCCAUGCCUGAAGCCUGCCAGCAUGAAAGAGUUGUGUGUGUGAAUCUUGGAGAAACACAAGAGAGCCAACAGUGUGAGCAGAGCCUUAGAAAUAUUGUGUCAUCAGCAGCAGCUGUUUUGUCCUGAAAAAAUGAAACAAGUGGUGGAGGGCUUGAGCUAUGUCCCUGUAAAACUUAUCCUUUUCCACCCCAAGUUUUGAAAUGGUGAAGAAGAAGAGGCAUAUGGAAAAACACCAUUGCUCAAAGAUCUCAGCCAAUCAGAGAUGAUGUUCUGAGCCACAUUAAAGAGAGGUAAGUUUUAUCAUGCUUAUGAUCAGGUUUAGAGGAAUUAGCAACCUGGUCUUCCACUCAGGAAAGGCAACACAGGUCAGGGGCUAUUUGCUGGCAAUGCUGGAGUUCCUCAGAGACGCAGAUGAGGCUAAGAGGAUGGCAGGGCAGACAGUGAAAGCUUUCCAGAAUACAGUUUGCCACUUGGAACAAGAAGAAGUAGUCACAGUUGUGCUUUUGCAAUGUCCCCAACCAGCUCUGCUACUCUUCAAUGGUGAGAAAGGAAGGGCCCACUUUGCUGCUAGGGUUGCAUUUGGCAAAACGUGAAGGUGCCUGGAAAAACUUAAACUUGGUACCAUCAGCCUCCUGCGUGAAAUGUACUGCAUCCUGCUUCUCAUGCAGGUACAAGGGUCCUGACAUGUUCAAGGCAUGUGGAGACACAGAGACUGGUUGGGGUGGAUAUAGUAUAUGCGAAUGACCAGUCACAAGUAGGUCUGGCCAAAGGAAGGGGAUGGUGGGGAUUAAUAAACUCAGAAUCUGUGAAAAUAAUAUGCAUGGCAUAGAUCCUUUACAUCAGAUCUGUUCAGAGCCCCACUGCUUUCAAUGGAGCUCCAUGUGAGCUGAAAGGUUUGCCCUGGUGCAUCUGAUUGUAGGAUUGGGUCUUUUGUUUAUGUGGGCAGUGUAAGAUUUAAGAUUGCCAUAGCUAUUUGAAGUAUUUUUUGUUUUCAGAAUGACCCAGGUUUUGCUUAUUUUUAACCUUUCGUUUUCUCUUGUGUGUCGGUAAAUGAAGACAGUGCGUUAAAUCAGUGGGGUGAAUGUGUCACCUGAUUAGUAAAAUAAAGGAGUGAGUGGUGCAGGACUAGCUAACAAUGGAUCCUGCAGAGACAGCCCUGCCUCAUUCCAUGUGGACCUGACAAUUUAGGUGCAUUCACUAGGUAGCUAUGUUAGUGAUACACACCAGUACAGUGCACCUGACCUUCAUUUCAAACACUGCUGAAGAGUCAUUGCACAUGACAUGUCUGAUCCAAGGCUAGAAAACCACGUCUCCUGAUUGCACAAGCAGCAGCUAAGCCAGUAGGAUGCAGUGCCUGCUAGACACCUCACUGAACCUCUGUGUCCUACAUAGCCAUCUUUUGUAACAAAGUUUUGCAUUUACAAAGCACUUUUUCAUCCUAAGACCUCAACACACCUUCCAAAGGUGGUUAAGCAUUAGUAGCCCGUUUUACACUUGACUUAAGUACAGAGACUUGAAGCAAUCUGUAUGAGAGGUACUGUGGUCUAGUGAGAAAAGAAAUGGUUUUACCAUUUCAGAGUGCUGGGGAAGGAGCGCCUAUAUUCUGGGGUCCACCAAAAGCCUCCUUUGACAAUUUGUUUAAACGCUGUUAUUCUCAUUUGGAAAAUGGCCCUGUAGAGGAUGCAGAAGGAGGGGUAACUUUACUAGUUCUUUUCACUUUUUAAAAGAAAAAUAUUGCUUGUGGCCUUGAUUUUUUCCUCUGUUGCCUUCACUGUCAGAAGCAGGUAUAAUUUUGAAAUAAUGGCCACUUCAUAGACGUUUGACUAUUUUUGGCCUUGAAAACUGCCUCGUGUAUCACAUUUUGUGAUGCAAUGUUACUUGCUUGGGCAGACAGAAUGGAAACUUGCAAACAUUUUAAAAAGGAGUCAUUUUAAAGUCUUUUAAUCUUAACAAAUGCUCACUCAAUUCACUAAAUUUAAAGAAAGUCAAUGAAACUUAAUCAUUAAAAAUUGAAAGCUUAAUAAUGUAUCUUUUUUUGGUACAAAAAUCAGCCUUUCAAUGGGACCCUAGUUGCAACUCCUUGUCCGCCUGCUAAGCUGCAACAAGCUGAUAUGCGCAAUCCCUCUCCAACAGAAGUCAAUGAAAAAUGCCUAUUGUCAUCUAUGAAAACAGGACUGGGCCUAUUACUCAGACUGACAUCCAUGGGCGCAAGAUCGGGCUGCAUGAUCCACAUAAAACACUGUCACUAACUUUGCUUAAUUACACUUUCUUCAACAAAGUGGGUGCAUGAAUUUUCAGGGGAAUUUAACUAUAUGGAAAGUUUGAAAGGGGAGUAACAAGCUCUUUUUCAGCUAGACAAAAGAAAUGUUCGCCAAAAAUCAGAAUUUCAAAGCAUGGUGAUUUUUUAAAAUGACUGAUUCAAAAACACCUUUAUUAAUUUUGUUUAAGGUUUGCACAAGCAUUCGCCUUCAUGUUGAGCAUAAAUACAACUCCUCUCAGGCCACACAAACUUUCCAAGCAAGAGCUAUAGAAGUGAUAAGAGGGCUUUUUAAUGGAAGCCAAAUUAUAGAGAUUCUAAUGCCUCUCCAUAGUAAAGUCACUUUGUGUGUGUGUGUGUGUGUUCAUACUGAUAAAAAAAUGUACACAGCUUCUGUAUGUCUCAUCAAUCAGGGCUUGAAAGCAUCAGUCCUUGGCAACCUGAGACAGAGAUCUAAACCACAUUCAUCAGUCUUCCACAAUUUACUUUUCCUUACUUCCCUUAGCUUUGAGUGACAUGGAAAAUGUGGUUUCACAAUCUAAUAACGUAUUCGGCCCAGUUGGUUUCAUUGAGCUAGAAUCUGUGAACUGCAUUUAAGAAAACCUCUCACUGAUUUAUUUCUUUGAUAUUUUCUUGUCUUAUCAUAUUCCUUUCCUAAUUUCUAAGACUAAAAUCUGCAAAUAUUAAGGAGGGAGGUGGGGAUGAGAGUGUCUAGCUCUUAGACUUUGGAUGGAAAGAUGGCAGCUUUGGUUAAUCCAUCCUCUUGCACACCAGAAUCUAGACAAAAGACCCAGAACAACCCAUGCCUAAAGCUUCAGUUAUGGCUUUAAAAUUAGCAUGGUCCUAUGGAGGAAAGACACAUAUUAAAGCAUUAGUAAAAAGAUAAUUGUGAUCAUAGUAACAGGGCACAUUGACUGCAGGCAGCUGUUGGUGGUAGAUUCCCUGCUACUUUCAAGCCCAGAUGUUUAGAGGAGAGGAAGGUCCUUUUGGCUGCUACUGAUUAUUUCAGUGCCUGAUGGUGCUUGAUGCCCUGAAAUAGGAAAGGAACUUAUAGCAGAGGCUCACAACGAAGUACCAGAUGUUACGAGCCAUCUGCGACCUUGCAAUGAAAAUGCGCCAGAUGAUCACAAGGAGGGUAGUGUUGAAUGCAUACUGGAUGUUCCUUAGCCUGACAAAUAAAAGAGAAGCACAUUAAGAAAAAUUACUUAAAACGAUACCCUAAGAUGCAGCCUUAACAUCUUUGGAUCAAACUUAAAGAGGAAUUUCUGCAUUGCAGAACACUUUUAAAGUGAUCUUAUUUAUAAAAUGGAAUGAUGUGGCCCUCCUGCCUUUUCUGUUUAUUAGCAAGGAUACUAGUGCCUAAACAGGUGUCUCCUUUGUGUCCCAAAGCCACCGCCUCCUACAUGACCCUGCGUUGAAAUUAUAAUGCAAUGAAUGCAGUGACGUGAUAGAUUCAGCUACACCAGCAUGCCCCAGAUUUCUUUGAUUCCAUGCAUUCUGAUUUCAGACCCGAAUUGAGACUGAAUUAACAUUGGUGGUCGAUUGCCUAGGGAUGGACUAAGAGAUGUCCUAUUGUCCAUGUUUUACUCUGGUGUGUCAGCAACUUUUAAUAACAUCGACAAUGAGAUUUUGGUGACUGGCUUAUGGAAUGUUUACAGGGAUUUACAAAAUGCUCCUUCAGUGGGUUUGUUCCUCCCUCGCUGCGACAUCUCAGACAGAUUCUACAGUUCUACCCAUUUCUUACUUUCCCAGUGUCUGGCCAAGAGGAGGAUCAGGACAAAAGCAAACUAGCUGUGACGUAGCUUGGUCAAGAUUGCUUUGUCUUUUGUGUGUGUGCGCUAUGUUUUGAUAUUUUGGCUUGCACUGGUAGUGAUGGAGUUUAUGCUACCCAUUUGGGUUACUAUGUAGUUUAUAUGUUCCUGAUUUAUUAUAGAAGCACUUAGAAACUAGGAAUAUAAAUCUUUAAAAUUUACUCAACAAACUCAUGAUUCAUUUGUGACACCCCAGAAAUGGCAACAGCCUGUCUUACACUUGUAGUUUCACAGCAGCCAGUGUUUUCCAGAGUGCAAAGUGCUGUUCCUUGAAAGGCAUAACACUGGUCCUUCAGCAGAAGUACCUGUGUCCCUGUUUUCAUGUUCUUUGGCACUUCUGAGUAUUUGGUCUGGAGGAGAUGAGCAGGGCUUACACUUUUUUUUAAUUGGAAAAAAGGAACCCAAGAUCUUUAAUUUAGAAUGUUUUAGAACUUUAUAGGUUCUAGUUCCAAAAUAUCAAAUCCAACUUUGAAGCCUCUAUUUCAUUUGGGAAUGGGAGACAGGGAGUGAGGGUAAAAUCUCCUCAAUCUCCACUACAAGUGUAUUUCUAGAUUCUGUUUUAAAGUUUUACACAACCCCUGGAAAUUGUCAUCGACCUUUAGGAGUUUCCCAAAAUCCAAAGCUGCCCCUCACGCCUUUCUUUUUUCCUGUCCUAAAUGAACCUUUGGAACUUCUGCAGCAACAGAUCUGUAACCCCUCUCUGCCUCUUUAGGGGUAGAGGUGUGUGUGUUUGUGUGUGUGACUAAUAACUCACCGGUGAGGAGGAUUGACUACUUCCAUGACAGUAUCAUGUGCUGCUGCUGGACUAUGAGGCCAGCCCAACCCCCCGUUUUUUCCCACAAGAUGGGCAAGGAAAUAUUAAGCCAGAUCCUGACCUGAUGUAAAUAGGGAGCUAUGUCAUUUUUAUCUCACAUGAGAUCAUUCUCAACUUGACACAGGUUCUAUUCACCUGUCCUCGUCCCAGAAAUCGUAUCAUUCAAUUUAAAACAGAAACCCUUGCCUUAAAAACCCUUAGAUACAACUACCCAAGGCAGCUGGGGGCCGUUACCACAUUUGACCAUGUAUGGCUUACUU
Long non-coding RNA from Chelonia mydas (Green sea turtle), 7277 nucleotides. RefSeq lists it as uncharacterized. NCBI's taxonomy places the organism in Eukaryota, Metazoa, Chordata, Testudines, Cheloniidae. The transcript has 11 exons. The record is from RefSeq and is a predicted model, not a curated record.